Molecule: RNA transcript, 1766 nt
Organism: Haliotis rubra (blacklip abalone)
Lineage: Eukaryota; Metazoa; Mollusca; Gastropoda; Lepetellida; Haliotidae
Exons: 7
Source: RefSeq, a predicted model, not a curated record
AACCUAUGUGCAGGAAUGCAUGAAUAUGAGGGGACUUUUCCCUGCGCUUUGUCCCGUGAAUCAUGUCACGAGAAGCUAUAUUUAACUCCUGCACACUACGCGAUCCAGACUUCUCAUAUUGAUGCGAGUGUCGUUACACGGUGUACCGGGAGGAUAGUUACACGGUGUGACGGGGGGAGCCAAGCAACUGUCAAACGAUACAGAACACAACCCGCUUCUUCGGGGAGAGGACGAUCAGAAAACAUGGCGUCGAAGGAAUUCCUGUAUAAGAUGGUACAGUUUGAAACCAGAGAGGAGAACUACUCUAUGCCGGAGUUCUUUGACCGGUUCUCACAGAAGUUACCAGUAUUCGUUAUAGUCACACAGGGGUGUUACGGCUUUACAGACCUCGAAACCUUCUCCGCUGAACAGGCUCUGUUCUGCCACAGCUACGUCAAACAGAGGCGGGUGGUCGCGCGGGACUCACGUGGCAGGACAAUCAGCAUCCCCGAGGAGUACCCCAUGAAGUUCAAGAUCGUCAUAUCCAGACAAAAGAUGGGACCAGAACAGACGAUGAAACAGAUCCUCCUUGAGAACAAAUUGCCAGUCCAGGUCAGGUUUUCCGCCCCAGCUAACGUCGCCUUUUACAUCGGAUCUGAUGAACAGAAGGCCAAGGACCUCAGUAAUCUCGCCCUGUCACACAUCUACGAGGAGACCUUCAUCAUAGCCAAUGGAGUCUACGGGCGGUCCGUGGACAUGAGUCCGGUGGUGGUGCCGCUGUACAUUGAUGAUCUGUGUGUGUCCACGGUGAAGGGCGUCGUCGCGAUGGGGGAGGAGGAGUGGAAGACCCUGUAUUCUCAACUGAAAGCGUCGCUGAAAGACGUCAAGAUUCCUCCCAACAUGGGGAAUAAAGAGAUAGCAGUGUUUUCGGACAGCUCCGUGGUAGAUAAAGAGGACCACAUCUAUUCCUACAUAGAGCCUUCAGAAUACAUCACAUUCUCUCUCCUGUCACAAGGCAACGCUACUGAUGAUGAAAAGUAUGCUGCUCCAUACUUCCACAAGAGAUAUCCACCCAAAGGAUCCAUGAUAUCCGAGCUACAGAAAAAACUAACCAAAACCAAAACCAAAGAUGAUGCACAAAGAUGGAGUGUAACAAAAGUCACUAGGAGUGUCAGUACAAGCAGUCAGGAUACCAGCAGCAAACCGAAACUUCCCCCACGAUCGAGUUCAGUUUCUAUGGAUGCAGGCGCCAUCAAUGAGAGCAAAGUGCAGGGGACAGAAAGUGACGACGCCUCUACUCCUCAGCUUCCACCGCGCAGUGGUAAAACCAAAGUACUGCCCAGUCAUCUAAAAGACCUGACAAUAGAGGGUAUGUCAAAAACUCUCAGGUCAAUAAAACUGGACAAACAUGUUUCAAAAUUUCAAAAGAAACAGGUAGAUGGGCUAAUCGCCAACGAUUUUACUGCAGAAAUGUUGAAAAGUGAAUUUAAGUUCACAGAUUUUGAAAUUGUCAAACUUAUGUCAUUCAUUGAUACUGGCCACAUUCCACGGUGAAUUUUGUCUUCUGUCAAGUCAUUCUUCAGUUUUCAGAUAUGAAUUUGGUCUUCUGUCAAGUCAUUCUUCAGUCUUUCAGAUAUGAAUCUAAACUUGUGUCAAGUCAUUCUUCAGUCUUUCAGAUAUGAAUUUGGUCUUCUGUCAAGUCAUUCUUUAGUCUUUUAGAUAUGAAUUUGGACUUGUGUCAAGGCAUUCUUUAGUCUUUCAGAUAUGAAUUUCGUCUUCUGUGAAGU